Molecule: long non-coding RNA, 32618 nt
Filed under: Vitis vinifera (wine grape)
Lineage: Eukaryota; Viridiplantae; Streptophyta; Magnoliopsida; Vitales; Vitaceae
Description: long non-coding RNA (VVIN_LNC005941)
Source: RNAcentral
UUUGUCGGACUGCGUCUACUUUAGGAUUUCAGUAUUUUGUCACUUUCAUUGAUGACUAUUCUCGAUGUACUUGGUUAUUUUUAAUGAAAAAUCGAGCUGAGUUAUUCUCUAUUUUCCAGAAAUUUUAUACUGAAAUCCAAACCCAGUUCAAUAUUUCUAUUCGUGUGUUACGCAGUGACAAUGCCAGGGAAUAUUUUUCAGCCCAAUUUACUUCGUUUAUGUCUCAUCAUGGAAUUCUUCAUCAGUCUUCUUGUGCUCAUACUCCUCAACAAAAUGGGGUAGCUGAACGCAAGAAUCGACAUCUUGUUGAGACAGCUCGUACUCUCCUCCUCCAUAGUCACGUUCCUUUUCGUUUUUGGGGGGACGCUAUUCUUACCGCUUGUUAUCUGAUUAAUCGUAUGCCCUCCUCUGUCUUACACGAUCAGAUUCCUCACUCCCUUCUUUUCCCUGACCAACCACUUUAUUUCCUUCCUCCUCGUGUCUUUGGUUGUACUUGCUUUGUUCAUAUUCUCACUCCUGGACAGGACAAGCUUUCCGCCAAAGCCAUGAAGUGCCUCUUCUUGGGAUAUUCCAGACUUCAGAAGGGUUAUCGUUGUUAUUCCCUUGAGACUCAUCGGUACUUUAUCUCCGCUGAUGUCACCUUCUUUGAGGACUCACCAUUCUUUUCCACCACUUCUGAGUCUCUUCCCGUUUCUGAAGUCUUGCCCAUUCCCAUUGUCUCCCCACCUGAAGCUAUGCCCCCUCGACCACUUCAGGUUUAUCAUCGUCGCCCGCGUGUCGUUGCUCCUCUCCCUUUUCCUGAGGCACCUGCUGACUCACUUCCUAUCCCUUCGGCUUCACCUGCCCCGACUCUGCCUUCUCCUCAUGACUUACCCAUUGCUGUUCGGAAAGGUACUCGCUCUACUCGUAACCCUCAUCCUAUUUACAAUUUUUUGAGUUAUCAUCGAUUAUCUUCACCCUAUUCUGCUUUUGUUUCUGCUAUAUCCUCUGUUUCUCUUCCCAAGAGCACCCAUGAAGCUCUUUCCCAUCCAGGCUGGCGACAGGCAAUGGUGGAUGAAAUGGUUGCUCUGCACUCUAAUGGCACUUGGGAUCUUGUUGUUUUACCCCCUGGUAAAUCUACAGUUGGUUGUCGUUGGGUCUAUGCAGUUAAGGUUGGUCCUGAUGGUCAGGUUGAUCGCCUUAAGGCCCGCUUAGUUGCUAAAGGCUAUACUCAAGUUUAUGGUUCUGAUUAUGGUGACACAUUCUCCCCUGUUGCCAAGAUUGCUUCUGUCCGCUUGCUUCUCUCCAUGGCUGCUAUGUGCUCUUGGCCUCUUUAUCAACUGGAUAUUAAAAAUGCCUUCCUUCAUGGUGAUCUUGUCGAGGAAGUUUAUAUGGAGCAACCUCCUGGUUUUGUUGCUCAGGGGGAGUCUGGUUUAGUGUGCAGGUUACGCCGUUCUCUAUAUGGCUUGAAACAAUCUCCUCGAGUAUGGUUUAGCCGUUUUAGUUCUGUUGUUCAAGAGUUUGGCAUGCUUCGCAGUACAGCAGACCAUUCAGUUUUUUAUCAUCAUAACUCCUUGGGGCAGUGUAUUUAUCUGGUUGUUUAUGUGAACGACAUCGUCAUUACAGGCAGUGAUCAGGAUGGUAUACAGAAACUAAAGCAACAUCUUUUUACCCACUUUCAGACCAAAGACUUGGGAAAACUCAAGUAUUUCUUGGGAAUUGAGAUAGCUCAAUCCAGUUCUGGUGUAGUCCUUUCUCAAAGGAAGUAUGCUUUAGACAUCCUGGAAGAAACCGGUAUGUUAGACUGUAAACCGGUAGACACACCUAUGGAUCCGAAUGUCAAACUUGUACCAGGACAGGGGGAACCUUUAGGAGACCCUGGGAGAUAUCGACGGCUCGUAGGUAAAUUGAACUAUCUCACCAUUACUCGUCCAGACAUUUCUUUUCCUGUGAGUGUUGUUAGUCAAUUCCUACAGUCACCAUGUGAUAGCCAUUGGGAUGCCGUAAUCCGUAUUCUUCGAUAUAUCAAAAGUACACCAGGCCAAGGUGUAUUGUACGAGAACAGAGGUCAUACUCAAGUUGUUGGUUACACAGAUGCAGAUUGGGCUGGGUCACCCACAGAUAGACGUUCCACUUCAGGGUACUGUGUUUUUAUUGGAGGUAAUCUAAUAUCUUGGAAGAGUAAGAAACAAGAUGUAGUGGCCAGAUCUAGCGCUGAAGCCGAGUAUCGAGCUAUGGCUUUGGCAACAUGUGAACUCAUAUGGUUGAGACAUCUUCUUCAGGAGUUGCGAUUUGGAAAGGAUGAACAGAUGAAACUCAUCUGUGAUAACCAGGCCGCAUUACAUAUUGCAUCCAAUCCAGUCUUCCAUGAAAGGACCAAGCAUAUUGAAGUUGACUGUCAUUUCAUUAAAGAGAAGAUCGCAUCAGGAUGUGUUGCUACAAGUUUUGUCAAUUCAAAUGAUCAACUAGCAGACAUCUUCACUAAAUCUCUCAGAGGUCCUAGGAUUAAAUAUAUUUGUAACAAGCUUGGUGCAUAUGACGUAUAUGCUCCAGCUUGAGGGGGAGUGUUGAAUAUAAUGUAUGUAUAGUAUACUAUCUUUCCUUGUUAAUAUAGGUCACAUGUAUGGUAGUUAGGACUCCUAGUAAACACCAAUGACAUGUUACAAUUGAAAAGACCCUACAAAGCCAUCAGUCUUGAUGUUUGUAAGUUGUGUAUGGAGCAUGGAGAAUCAAUAGAUCAGUUCUUUUUACAUUGUCCUUUGGCGCUAAAACUAUGGUACAAAUUAUUUGGAUUGACCAAGAUGGAUUGGACUCUUCCAAAGAGUAUUUAUGAUAUGAUGACCAUCUCAUUAAAAGAUUGGGAAGCUCUAAGGGAGGCCUAGCACUAUGGAAACUGUUUGUCUUGCUUUGAUUUUGGGUUGUGUGGCAAGAAAAAAGUGUUAGGAUUUUUUAGGACAAGGCAAGGACUUUAGAGGUUCUUUGAGAUACCAUUCAUUUCCUUACUUCUUUUUAGGCCUCUUACACUACAACUUUUAAGGGCAUUUCCCUUAAUGUGGUUCAACUUGAUUGGUUAUCGAUAUAUAGUUCCAAGGGUGUGGGUUAGUAAGGAGAGGUUGCUAUUUGUAUUUACCAUAUGGUUUAUGUUGUACCAUAGGUGUUUAGGUUUAUUUAGUACUUUGGAGGUUCCAUUGUUUAGUUUUUAUUUGUGGGAGGAUUCCUCACCCUUCUAUUGUAAUCUUAAAUCCUAUUUUAAUAUAUUACAUUGUUAUUUCUCAUAAAAAAUAAAAAUAGAAGAAAAAAGAUUGAACAUGAAUAUAUCCAAAUAAUAAUAAUAAUACAUGAAAAGACCUUUUGGAUAAAAAUUCAAGGAAAAAACAAAAGGAAGAAUUCAUAGCCAGUCAACAUUGCUAAGAAAACAGAAAGAUAUUAACAUUUCUUGUAGGUUUUUGAUUAUCUCCCUAUUCCAAUUCAACCACAGUCCCCCUCCCCCGCCAUCUCCCAUGGGGUAAGAGCUAAAAGGGAAAACAACAUGUCUGCCCUAGAGUUCAAUAGAAGUUAACGUCAUUGGUAAGAUCAUGUUCUGAUGAUUUUAGUGAUAGAUAGCUUAAUCAUGUAACAAACUAAAAGUUCAAAAUCCUUAUCAGAUGCCUUACUCUAAAAAGAAAACAGCAUGUCUGCCACAGAGUUCAAGAGAAGUUAACGUCAUUGGUAAGAUCAUGUUCUGAUGAUUUUAGAGAUAGAUAGCUUAAUCAUGUACCAACCUAAAGUUCAAAAUCCUUAUCAGAUGCCUUACUCAUAUUCAUUUUUCUUUAAGUCCACAAAAGCACAACUAGCAUGUCUCAUAAAAGAGUUGGACCACCUAUUCAUUUACUGCAAUUAUCAAUUGUUCAACUCAAUACAGCCUCAUCCUAAAUACACACAUACAGCAUACGAAGUCAGCUAAAGAAACACAACAAAUGCAUCCUGAAUUUGUAACCACAAACAACCAAGGGAUAAGCAUUGAUGUAUGUGUAAGAAUGAAUCUUCAUAGAAUCAGAUCAGUAAGAGUAUAAAUAGAUAAGUACCCAAAUAGUGCCAACAAUUGAACCGAGUAACCAUGCACAGAUACAUAAAUAGUAAAGGCUCAAUCUAGUAAAUAGCCAUGCUCUAAUCUGAUCAAAUUGUGUAAAGUUUGGCCACCAGAAUUCCAAAGAGAAAAAAAAUACCUGAAAUGUUACACCCUUUUCAGUAAUGUCAGCUAAAUGCAACAAUGACACCUGAAGAGAUUAAAUAAUAAAUUGUGAGCUGAAUUGCAAGUAUAAGAAAUCCUAGAAACCUGUUGCCAUUAUAAAAGAGAUCCAUGAAGAUUGUGAUCACCAAAAUGGACACUUAACAAGGUGACAUCAUCAACUGAAAUAUUACACUUUAACAGCAAUACCAGUCAAAAAGACACAGUGAGGGGGAGAGGAAUUCAUCCAUAAUUACGUUUACACAAAAAAAAAAAAAAGGGAACCGUGUAUUAUUCAUUAAUGAGUACAGACCACAAGUUAAUGUACAAUUCACCCAUGCAUAUUAGUUUUUGUUACCUUUUAGGUUGUCAGUUUCCGCAAGUAAUCAAACUAUAUAAAGAAUGAAGUUUGAGAUUUUUAUCACAAAAAUGGCAUUUACAAAUGAAUUAAAAAUGAAAUUAAAUGAAACCGCAACAAUCUUCCUCUCCAGAGAAUACUUCUUGCAUCAAUUGUAAAUUUUGUGUACAUACAAAUUGAUUAUCCAGAAAUUUAAAUGAAAACAUCAAUGAACUUAUCUCAUGUCUGUUGCUCACUGAAUGCUGUCAGUAUGUUGUGGUAGUUCAUAGUCCCCCAUUUUUUUCCAAAUAACAAUAAUUCAUUUAUAAUGUAAGUGUAGAAGAUUGAAAAAAGGACACCAGUCUACAAAAUAUCCCUAUUAGUAAAAGUAGUUUAGUUUUGCAACGCAUAUACAGCUUCAGUCAUUUUUUAAUAAGAACUAUAAUCUUUUCUUCAUAAAAUUUUCUUAAAUUAUGGCUUUACAAGGAAAACAAGAGCUAACUCAGCCAAAAAGUUGCUUCAUACAUUUCAACACUCUGGAUCUCUUGUUUUAUGGCAUUGCAAUUACUUAGUAGCAGAAUCAAAGGUGAAUAUUCCACGAAGAUCAAGCCAUUCAAACUUCUAGGAAUAUAAUAUAUUUAACCAAUUAGAAUACUAGAAGUCAGGAAGAGCUCUUUCUCUUUAGGAUUUUUGAUGUACACCAUCCUAAUGAUAAGUGAUAGUAAAACCUAAGAUGUCUUUCUUCAGGGUCAAGUUCGCUAUUAUAGCAUGUACAAAAAUGCUGAAAUGGAACUUGAAAAAUAAAAUUGAAAUUCAAUACCAAGACUAAGAACAGAUACUAAUAAUUUUUAUUUUUUUUUUUUGGAUAAGUUAAGAACAGAUGCUAAUGAUAAUAGGUGAUGUGAUGAAGUACUUAGAUGUCAUAGUGCAUACCACUAAUAUUUAGAAUGCAAAUAUUUCACAGUGAUUAAACAAAUAAAGGGUAUCAAAGAACAAAAUAGGUGGAGCCAUCCAGGUACAAAAUGGAAGUCAUAAGGAUCGUUUUGGAUGCAAAAACUAUGAGACCGUAUCCAUAAGGUAGUAUCUGGAAGCAAGGAAUUGUAAUUAUUAAAAUACUAAGAAUGACAAAUCCUGUUCUAAUAAAAAAAAGAAUGACAAAACCCUGUAAUGGUAGGGACUACAAUCGUAAUAUCACAAGACAAUAGCAACAACAGUAAUAAUAAAGAUUCAAAACUGUAUAUCACUGUUUGAAACAUAAUAAACAACCAUUUGAAAGCCGCCGGAGUCUGUAAGCAGUGCUCUUGGCCAGUUCAUAAAUUUGUGGAGACCCCCCAAUUCAUCGAUCAGCUCAGAACUAGGGCGAAGUGCCAAAUGAUAUGUAUUGCCAAGUAUUAUUUGGCAACCAAUUUCCUCAAGCUGGUUGGUUGUUAAACCUUUUAUUGUCCCUGUAACAAGAAAACCCAAUCUCAUGCCAUCAAUCACAGAUAUUUGAUACCAUCAAAUGCGUGUGUAAGCAUGUUAUAAAUAUCAUGCCAUGGUCAACAAACAGCUACUUAAUAAAGGCAUCCCAGUACAAUGAUAAAGGCAUCCAAGAGAGGGGGGGUUAUGGGUAAUGUCAAUUAAUACUGGAUUUGUUAUUAAUUGUUAGUACCCGCAUGGAUCCAAAAUAUACUUAACAGCAUUGGCCAUGGACAGUUACAAUAAAACAUUAAAUACAUCUACUGAGUUGAGAGCUAGUAUAGAGAACCAAUACUCCAUUUGCUUCAAUAAAAAGGAACAAUGACAACAGAAUUUUUACAUUCCAAUAUAGCAUGUGAAGGUAAUGGAAGUAGUCUUACAGUUACUCAGUAACCAUACAAGCAUUGCAAUAAACUAAGAAGAUAUAAGACAGUUGAAAUUCUAACCUUGUGUGCCUACAGGCAUAAAGAGAGGUGUCUGGCACACAAAGUGAGGGAGUGUCAGUUGGGCAGCUCGAGCACGGUUGAACCUCCCAAGAACCUACAAUUAAAGGAGGAAAAGAAUGAAUAAUAGUGUUUUCGGAUGAACGAAAUCAUAGUGUUUUUGGAUUAAGAAACAACAAAUUCAGCAAAAACAAAUGAGAUUGUAUACCAGAGUGAUUUACAGUCAUGGCCCUCCCACUGUUAUCGCAGACGAUAAGUGGUAGGACAGACCUAAUGAUCACUGUAGUUUGGGCACAAAAGUAACAUAGCUGAGGAAGCUAAAUAACAGCUCAAAAGAACACAAUUUAGAGGGGCAUUCACAUUCUCCCUUUAGAGUUCUCCUGUGAGGCCUUUGGUUCUUGGAAAGAAUGAGAUGAUGAAUAAAAAGAUCCUUAAAAACGGUUUACUUUCAUGUCCAUUUCCAUAACCAUUUCUUUUAUUUUCUUCAUUGUUUUUAAAGAACCAAAUAGGGGGUCAAUAAGGUAAUCUGUUCUCAUCCAAAGCUCAAAUUCGUCUUUCACAACAUCUUCAUUUUGGCUGCAGGUUGGCUUCAAAUUUGAAUGAAAUGAAUACAACUCUGACCACUAAAAACAAAUAGAAUCACAGAAAAUGUGCAUCCAAAUUCAAAUACCUCAAACCGAAGCGCCAUCCAGCAAACUCCUUCCUCGACACUCUUUUAUGUAUAAACCUGUAAGUUGAUAUCAAAAAACGCAACUAAUCAUACAAAACAAAAGGAUACUACAAACUUUCUGAAGAAAAAUCUAGCAAUGCAAAAACGGCAUGACCAAAAUGUUGAUGUGGGAGAUUACUGUGAUAGAGAAAUACAGAUAAUGUGCAAAAUAAAAGAUAGUAACAAGCUUACAGAGAAGAGUGUAGGAGGUGAAUGUGUUGAAGGCGAGGGCGACGAAACAACGAGCCCUAGUAUGAACAAGAGAAUAACCUAGUCUGUCUCGGCGGCUUGGAUUGUGCGCCGGCAACGCGUUGCUUCUGUUGGCCUUUUUCCACGCUCGGAACGAAGAAGACUAGGGUCUUCGACACGUAGCGGUCAAAAAUUAAAAAGGGCUAGGGUCACUGGGCUCCUUGUUCGAAUCGACCCGAACCACUUUUUCUUGGUUUAUGAAAUUUGAUUCGCUCCUGUCAAAAACGUUUUAACCAUUGGUUUGCACUUUGUACGCAUUUUUCGUUAUGUCGAGGUUCCUAGAAGGCUGGACCUUCUUUUCUUACAUCCCAUUUAUACCUAUCUGAUUUCUCUGCCAUCCGACAGGCGACAACCCCGCGUUUCAGCCCUUUCCCCUUUCAGCAAAAGGGGACCAAAUGAAAGCAUGUGGGCUCUGACUAUUUUAAAUUUUUCCAGCUUCUUUUCUACUUUAAAACCCCGCUGAUUGCGAUUAUUUAUAACUCGUUUUCUUAAACAGUGCAUUAAAAUACGAUACUCAUAUUCAUGCACAUGAAACGCAUUUUAUUUUAUUGAUACUAGAUUGGAGCUUACUAUUGAGUUUGAGGAAAGUUUGUAUUGAAAACUUAACAUUAAUCUACGCAUUAAACAUGAUACAAUUAGUGUGAAAAACUAAAUUUUCAUUGAGUUAUAAAAUUAAAGGGAAAAAAAAAAUUAACAGUUAAGCCAAAAUUAUGUCUUUAUAUCACACUAUCUCUCUUUAACUAAUUUUUUCUAUUUUAGCCACCCACCCUAUAUUUCUCGCUCCACCAAUGGUGUUGAGUACAUUUUUCGAAUUUAACCGAGUCAUACAUGAAACCACAUUAAAUAAGUUAUAUUGGAAUGCAUUGACAUAUAUUAUUGGAAUAUUAAAUUAUGUCCUUUUACCAAGUAUUUUUUAAAAUUAGUCUAAUUUUAUGAAAUUUGUUUGACAUAUAGUUAAUUUAUGAAAGUUUUUAAUUUUAUAGAAAAUGAUUCCUAAAUUUACAUGACUUUUGGUGUAAAAAUCAAAAUUGAAAACUCAAUUAAGAGAGUAAUGUAAUAAAUAAAUAAAUAAAUAAAUAAAGAUUAAUAUCAUGUUAUAUUACUUAAAUGAUGAAAGGUAUAGAUAAAAAAAUUCAAAUUGUCCACUCUCAACACAUGUAGAGGUAAUUCACUAAUAAUUAUUAGGGUUUGUUGCAUGAAAAACAUUAAGAUUAUGUUUGGUUCCGGAAAUAGUAAGGAAAUAAAAAAAAUGCAAAGGAAAAUAAUUUUUUCAUGUUUAGUUGUCAUAUGAAAAAAUAUCAAAUAAAAUAAAAUGUAAUUAAAUUUAAUUAAAAUCUUAUAUAUUUUUAAAUUAUUUAAUCUUUAUAUUGAUAAGUUAAAAUAAAUAAAACGAGUUUGAAGUAACAAAAAAAAAAAAUUUAUUAACUUUUAAUCUUUUUUUUUUUUUUUUCCUUUUACUUUUCAUUUGUAUUUUAUUUCCCUUACAUUUUCCUUCAAAUUUUAUGGAAUCAAACAUAAUCUAACACAUGCAAUUAUUGGUCAAGACGAGUAUGGGAAGCUAGUAUAAUUCAAACAAAAUAAAACCAUGUAUUAUUUUUUCAUAUUUUGUGGAUUAUUGAUAAUAUUGACAGAACAUUUAUUUUUACAUUUAUAAAUACCAAUUGUUUUAUUGUUUUAUUUAUGAGUGAUCUUCCAUGUAUAUUUUGAAUGUGUUUAGUAAUGAUUUUAGAAAGUGUUUUUACAAUUUUUAAUACUUAAAAAAAAUAUUAUUUUUUGAGUAUUAUAAAUAUUAUAAACAAUUCAUAAAAUUACUAUCAAACGCACUCUAAAAACUCAUUUGAUAAUAAUUAUAAGAAGCGUUUAUAACAUUUUUAAUGCUUAAUUUUUUUUAUCAUUCAAUUGUUAUAAAAACUAAAAAUGUUUAUAAUAAUCACUAUUAAAUAUAUUUUUAAAGUAUGUUUGACAAAAAUUUUAGAAAGUGUUUAUAACAUUUUUAACACUUAAAAAUUGUUAUCUAUUAAAUAUUAACAAAAUUAUAAACACUUAAUAAAAUCACUACACUCUUAACGUCACUAUAUUGAUUAAUUGAUUACUAAUUUAUAGAUAAGUUAAUUAAUUUUAAUUAAUCAUACUUUAAUUUAAGUAAGUGGAUUUGUGAAUUUUGGAUAUAAUUAUGUGGAUUGCUUAUUCGCUUUCCCUCGACAUAAUUAUAUACGACUUGAGAAUAUGUAUACAAGUGAUUUAUUUUUCUGGGGAAAUAUUGAAUAUAAAAAUAUAAAUAUAGAUAUUGAACAAAAAUCUUUGUAUGAAUCCUUAAUCUAUAAUCCCCAAAUGAACAAAGUGUGAAGUUUCAAAUAAGAAAAACUAUAUCUCAAUGGAUAUAAAAAUAAAAAAUAAUUGACUUUUUAAAUCAAUAAUUUAAAGAAAUAACUAUGGUGGUGCUUUUUUUUUUUUUUUUUUUUGCCGAAAGUAAUUUGUUUUUUAAAAUUAGGUUGUUUGUUUUUUUAUUUUUUCAUGACUUAUUAUAAAUUUUUUACUAAAUAUAAAAAGAUAAAAUAUGUAAUUUUUUAUAAAUAUAAAAAAUAACAUAUUGAUUUUUUUAAUAUUCAAUAUAAAUAAAAUAUUAAAAAAACAAACAACUUAAUAUUUAACACUAUUAAGCAUUAAGGUUCUAUUUAUAAUUAAUUAGAAAAAUAAAUACCACCUAUAUCUAAAAAAACCCGAGUCACAAUUAAAAUAAAAAUGUACAAGAAAGUGAUUUAAAAUUAUUUUGAAUAUGAUGGCUAGAGUCAGAUGAUCAAGGAAGAUUAAAAAAACUUAAUUUUGUUACUUUCAUAAAUUUUGUGGAAAUUAUUAAUAUCAAAUUAAAUAAGAAAUAAUAAUAAUUUUGUUUAUGAUUUAGUGAUAUCAAAAUCACAUAUUUUGCAUUGUAUCAUGAAAGUCUUAAAUUCUCACAAAAAAACAUGAUUUUAUUUUAUUAAAUGUAAUGAAUACAGUUACACCAGUAACAAAGAUUAUUGGAUGAUAUGAUAAAGUUUGUAUCAUAUAGUUUAAGACUAUUAAGAAAUAUUUAUAUAAAAAUUAUUAUUAUUAUUUUAUUUUUCUAAAGGCAGAGUAUUUAAGCAAUUAUUAAAUAAUUAAAUUGAUUUAUCCUUAAACCUCAAACUAACAAAAUUUAAGACAAAAGUUAACCUCUAGCGUGGGAUACCAAAUCAUUUAUUCUUUUCUUUUUUCUUAUUUUCCCUUGUAUCCUCUCAAUCAAGAACUUAGAAAAUAAGACCCAAAAAAAAUAAUUUACUCACCUAUGCUGCUAUGCAUUAUAAUAAAAAUAAAAAGAAUAAUUUUUAUUAACUCAAACUAUAACCUCAGGACUGUGCGCUUGAAAUUGAGAGUUUCUUAUUAAAGUAAUCUGUUUUUUUUUUCUUUUAAAUUCUUAAUCUAAAUUCAUGUUAAAAAUAUUUGUUAAAGUAAUGCAUUUGUACAUCAUGAAAUUUCAUUUUAUUAAUAUUUUUGCUUUAAAUUUAAAAUAACAAUUAUCAAUAUUGAUUUUUAAAAUUAUUGCCGAUAACUAAGAUUUUAAAUUUAAAAAUAAAACCACACUUAAGUGGUAUUUGUUUUUUAAUUAAAUAGAUAAAAUCAAAAUACUUAACUUUUUUUAUUAAAUUAAAAAUAUUUUGUUAAUAUUAACCGAUAUAAUUAAAAUAAACUUGUUAUUAAUAAAUUUAAUUCAAUUAUAUUAGUUGAUGUUAAUGAGUUACUUUUAGUUGAAUAAAAAAAUCAAAAUAUUUGAUUUUUUAUAUUUAAUAAAAAAACAAACAUCAUCUUAGCUUUUUAUACUUAAAAAACAAAAAAAAGUUAACAUAAAUAUUAAUUUGGUAAAUAUUUGGAAAGAAAUUUUAUUUUCAUCUUUUUUUUUUUUUUUCUUCGAAAGUGUUUUGGCUUAAAACUCCAAAAUCGAGGCAUUUGACAUAACGUAAGGUGAUAAACGGGAAAUAAAAUAAAAUCAUGCUGCUUAAAUGCUUCCUACGAUGGCCAAAACGAAGAAAAUAUAAACGACACCGUAUUGGGUUCGUGAAUUGGAGAAACAAUAAUUUCAAUGCCAAGGCUUCAAGAGAGAGAACAAUCCCCCAUGCCCCACUGUGGAGCAAGUGCAGCUAACCGGAAGGGACAGGUGAAACGAAGCAUGUAACAACGACGUCGUUUCAAUAGCUGGGUAUUUGGAGAACAGGUCCCACUGAAUAAUUUUCUCCUCCAGUUCCCAGAUUUCCAAACAAAUUCCAAACCCUAGUUCUGAUCCAACUCCCACAAAUCCAGGUAAACUCGUUCUCCCUGGAUCAUAUUUUGUUGCAUCUGAUAAUGCUCAAAUGUUCAAGCACUGUGGUCUUCCGAUCCGUGAUCACAAUUCCGAAAUCAAUGCCCAUCGUGUUUGUUUAAACUCACAAAACAAAGAAAAUUCUCAAUAUUCAUUGCGUAGUUGAAUGUUUUUCGUUUGUUCUUAUUUAUAGAUCUGCCAUAUUGAAUCAUUUCUAAAAAGGGAUCACUUAAUGUGCUUGAUUUAUUGGCAGUGAGCGUAUUAAUAUAAAGUGAUUGGAUAAGAUGCAACGCGUUCCGGCAACAAUAGAGGAACAAUUGAUUUUGAAAGCAAUUAGGGAGGAAAGCCCUUGGGAGAACCUUCCGAAACGGCUUCAAGCAACUAUAGCUUCCAAAGAAGAAUGGCACAGAAGGUUAUAUAUUUUAUUUGUUUAGACACUGUCCUCUUGUUUAUGGAUCCACAAGGGGCUGUACUGGUAAUAGUUAUUUCGAAUUGAAACUAAACAUGAAAUGUUGACCUCUAACAUAACUUAUGAGUACAUGCUUUAAUCCAUUGCUUCGCUUUGAUGAAGUUGCAAUCUUAACCCACCUCAAAUAUUCUAUGCCUUUUGUUGGUGUGAUGGUUGGUCUGCUUUGUCAAGUUAUGCAAUAAGUUAAAUCAACGCUUAGAUGCUGGAUAAACAAUUCCUAGAUCUAAGUAAUAAUUCAUGGAGUCGGUCGAGUGUUUUUCCUUUUUACCUCUUUUAGUUGGUUUCCACCUGUGAAUAUAGUUUGUAUUUUAUGCAGGAUAAUUGAACAUUGCAUAAAGAAGAGGCUCCAAUGGAACUCUUGUUUUGCCCGUAAAGUAUGCAAAGAGAGUGAAUAUUAUGAAGAAAUGAUGCGUUAUUUGAGAAAGAACCUAGCAGUAAGUACUAUACAUAAAAUCUUUCUUUUUCUUGUAUUGCUAUGUGUUGUAUUUUGAAAAAAAACGAAUUUCCUCUUAUUAAAGCAUCGGCGAUAAUUUUAAUUAAUUAAUUAUUUAUUUUUGGAAGUUGACUCAAAAAAAUGUGGGAUAUGAAGUUCCAGCAUCUGUAUCUUUCACAAAUUUUGGCUGAAAGAGUAACUUGCACCCAUAAAAUUAGUAAUAAAGUACUAGAUAUGGAUCUGUGAGUAUGUAAGCACUAGAUAUUUAUUUUAUGUUAAAGGGCCGCUUUUGUUCUGUCAUUUCCCUGAAUGAAUCUAUGCACAAAAGUUCUAUUUGAUACCCAGUGUAUCUUCUUAAUUCAUGUUAUGCACAAUAAAAUUGGACAUGUAGCUACAGUGUCCAAAUAAUGCUAUUGUCUAUUUUAAAAAAUCUUGGGACAAAUGCAAUUUACUUGUUGAUUUUCUCUUUUCUUUUUUUUUGGGUUUUCUUUUUUGCAGCUGUUUCCUUAUCACCUUGCAGAGUAUGUUUGCCGUGUAAUGAGGGUAUCACCUUUCAGAUAUUACUGUGAUAUGAUAUUUGAGGUUAUGAAAAAUGGUAAUAGGUUGCUAUCUUUUAACAAAUGCAAUAUGACUUUACAAAUACAUGAAACUGUUAUAGUUGUCAAACUAUCCGUGACUUGUAUUUAUGGAGAAAUUUUACUGUGUUUAAUCUCAUGCAAUCUGUUAGUUAAUCACCUGUCUAAUAAUGACUGUUUUGUAGCUUAUCUUUUACUUCACUACUUGAUCAACGCACUCCUGUUAGUCACAAAAUCUCUGAUUGAACCUACGUUUAGAGGAGCUGAGGUGUUAGCGCUGUUGGCAUAUUGUGUUUAAGUGUUGGGACUAUAAAUUGUUGCACUAGAAUGCUUUUGCAAUUUCUUCAUCCAUCAUAACCAAACUCUAGGAGACUAAUAGGAAAUAUUUAUUCUAUUGUUGCAGUAUAAAGGAUUGUGUACUUCUUGGAAUGAUUUCUCAUUCUUUGUAGAAAUUGUUGUUUCUCAUAAAAAUUUAAAGGCAAAAAAAUUAUAGUCAUUUAUCAUUCAUUGUCCUUGCAUCAAAUAUCUUAUUAAUAGGCUUUAGAAGCCCCAAAAAAAACUCAAUUUACUAUAAGAAAAGAAACUCAAACUGCACAGUAACUUAUUAGAAAUUCUAAUUCUUACCUAAAACUGAAUUAAAAAAUAGAAAUAAUUGUUUUUUUUAUUAAAAAAAUCAAUAUUUUUUGAAAGGUAGAAAUAUUUUAGAUAAAAAAUUUUUUAGAGAACAAAUAAUUUUUAGAAAAUAGAAAUUUUUAAAGAAUGGAAAGUCUAAAAGCAAGAAUUUAUGACAAUAAACAAAGAAACUUCAUAAGUUCUAUAUAGCACUUAAACUAAUACUAAAUUUGACUAAAUUAACUUAGGAUCUCUAAGUUAUUUUUUUCUUUUUCUUUUGUCCUUUUGUAAGUGAACUUGGAAGGGCUCAUCUUCAUUGCUUAGGGAGGAUGAUUAUGUUGGCCUUGGUUGUAAUUCUUUAACAAAUAAAAAAAGAAGAAAUUGUACAUUUGAGUAUGGGAUCAAGUAUCUUCAAGGAGUGGCAUGAGAACUUGCAUUUGAUGUGAAGAUCUAAGUUUUCUUUAUUAAUUUUCCUCUUACCCUGUUGUACCAAAUCUUGAAGCAUUAUAGUAAUAUUUACUAUCAACCAUUUGGCCUAUUGUUUGUCCCAAGUAUUUCCUUCUAACCGGCGCUUGGUUAAACUAGGCAGUUUAGUUGUAGUCAUGCUAGAAAAAGCACAAAUGUUUGGAUGGAAAAAUUUCUUGUGUUUUUUUAAUCUUAUUGAGCACAAAAAUAAGCCUUUUAUGUUAACCAUUUGUGAUCUCCAUUCUUUGAAUAAAAUUGUCUCUUAUGAUUAUUGACUUCGUAUCUUCUUCAGUCUCAACUGGUUGCCACUGUCAUUCCAUCAUUCCCUUUCUCUUGAUAGGGUAGGUGCUGCUUAUUUGAUGAAAAUUAUGGAUCAACUAUUUUUUUUAUGAUGAGAAAAUCGAUGAAAGAAAAAAAGCUACAAUGAGUACUAGUGUGCUACCAAUCAAAAAGGUAUUUACAAUACACUCUGAAAGCCAUAAUUUCUAAAUCACCAGUAAAAACCAGAGUGUUGAUAAAAGAUCUACUAUGCGGUUUCAAAUCUCAUUAUUUUGAUCAAAGAAUUGGUCAACUAAUUAUAGUUGCUACCCACUUCCACAUGGAUGAUGUUAUGGCACACUGAGUCAAUACAUCAUCCUUGGUUUAUAAGAUCUUGCAGUCUAGAUUCUUUUAAUCUUGUCAGGGGGAAGUAUCAAUGUAAUUAGAUACUUUGGCAUUCGAAUUCUUUCCAAAAUUUUUAACCCUUAUCUCUUUGUUUUGUCAAAUGCUUAUAUGCUAAUCUACUGUGAAAAAACAGAGAUUAUGUUUGCUAAAAUACCAGAGUAUGACAUAGGUCAUAUCAUAACAGUAUUUUAGGAAUAGAGAACCAAAAACAAAGCAAAAGUUCUUAGGAGUAAACUUUUGUUUAUCCAAAUGUGUACAAAGUACAAACCUUUUUGGUUGCUGCACUUAAAACAGAAAGUUCGAGUUAAGCUGCUUGUUACCACUUCCUAGAAAUCCUUUAUAAGUUGUUAUUUCUUUGAACCUUAGGCAUUGGUGUUUUUGAUGCAUAUUUCUCAUACUCAUGGUAUUCUUGCUCAUGGCAUGUUCUAUGCCUGGUGGCAUAUGCCUAUUGCUUGUUAAUGUAGAGUAGGGUAUGUACAGCAUAGGAGUUACUGAUAUACAGGGUUUAACUUGAUUAUGUUUCCUUAAACAGACUGUUUUGAACUCCUCUUGCAAUUUGAUUUUUAUGUUUGUCUUGUCCUCAUUUAUUUCCUUGUUCAAAACUAUUUUUAGUCACUGUUUAUUGGAUCCUUGUUAUUGUCAUUUCACACAACAUUCCGCUUUAGAACUUUUUUGUGCGUGAUGCAUCUAUGCUUUCUUUGAUUGCUUUGGAUGUAAAUUGUCUCCAAACUUUCUUAUGCAUUUUGUAUUGCUUGCAGAGCAACCUUAUGACAGCAUUCCAAAUUUCAGCGCUGCUGAUGCAUUGCGGCUUACAGGAAUAGGAAGAAAUGAAUUUAUUGAUAUCAUGAAUAAAUGCAGAUCUAAGGUAGUGGACAAGUGCACUUAUAUGCUUCUAGACAUUGAUAAUAUCUUUUUUUUGAUAGGCAAAAGAGCAAAAGAUAUAUUAAAGAUCCAAUUAAAGAGACAACUAAAUAAUAUCUUAUUUAGUUCAUAUGCUUGUAUAUAUGGCAUAUUAUUAGCCCUUGAGACUCAGUUCAAGUUGGAAGGGGUUGGGAUAGUGAUCUGGGAGGUUCCAAGUUUGAGUCCCAGUAGGGAUAAAAGAGAGAAAAAAGUUUACCUAUAAAAAAAGGAUAGUGUUUAUGUUAAUACACGUCUAACAUAAAUUGUAAUAACCAACCACUUACUAUGACUAAACUUUCCUGAAAAAAUUGAGUAAUUUUAAUAAAAAAAACUUUCCAAAUUCUGAAGGAGACUUAAAUAACCAACCACUUACUAUGACUAAACUAACGAUUUACAAAAUUCUCCUUUUCUUCCUUUCAAGAACAAACUUUUUUUUUUUGAUAGGUAAAGAAAUGAUUGUAUUAAUAACGCCUAUCAAAAGGUGCACAAAAGUAUACAUGGUAUAUACAAGUUGCCAAAGGCCAAAAGGGGCAGAGAGGGCACAAAAAAACCACUCUUGCCUUACUUAGAGUUCAAACAAUCACUAAAAUCCAUCAGAGACAAGGAGUACUCUUCUAUGCAUACCCUAAUCUAGGCUCUCUUGUUUCUCUACUUCCAUAUGGUCCAAAAUAAACACAAAGGAGUUGCUCUCCACGUUUUCUUUCUCUUCUUCUCUAUAAAGGAUACAUGCCAACUUUGAAGGAUGCCCUUGACCGAGGAUAACAUCACUCAUUGAACACCAAAUAGAUCAUAAAUUAACUGUUGCAUGACGACUUUGGAACAAUGAAGGAGGAUAUUAUCUACCGUUUUUUCCUCUCCAACCCCUCCUUUCUUGAAUAGAUCGUAGAGGUUCAUGCUCAUCACGUUGCCUCCAUGUCGGAGACAGCAGGGCAGUCGUUACACCAUUCCCGUCCAUUGUCUUUGAACCAAGACUAGGCAAUUUUUACCCGCAGACAGUUGAAAUCAUGGCUUUUUCAAAUUUUACCUUUAGGAAUUGAACUCAUAGAACGAUAGUUUUAGUGGUUGCUGUUUUGCAGAUCACCAAAUGGUCCCUGCUAAAAGAUUUUACCAAGAUUUCAAAAGGUCAAGUUGAAGAAACUAACUGGCAAUAUCUGAAAGCUUUACAUCAUCUCUUGAAUUUUAUUUUACAGUAUGAUUCAAUGAUUUCUGGCAGCGGACCAAGCAGCCAUCUGGUCAAUCCUGUAGCAGUCCAGUCCAACUAGCUUUAUUAUUCCUUUUUCCUUGGUACCCACAAGUAACUUGUUCUGGAAUUAACCUAAAAUUUACGUAGAAGAAUCCAUGGAGAUCAUGACAAGUUAAAAAAGUUAUGGUGAUUUGCAUGACUUGGUGACUUUCUGUAUAUGGAGGCAUGAACUGUCAUGUGUUUCUUUCCUUUCUUUAUAUGCCAUAGCUGUUUCAAAAGAGGCGUGGGUGGUGAUCUUUGGGAUCAGACAGGGGAGAAAGUCAUUGGAACCCUUGUUUUUCAUGACCUUUGAAUGAUUGGGAAGUGGACAACACGAUGGUGUGGAUAAAUUUGUACAAUAAUUUCUCUGUUAAGUAUUUAUAUGCCACUUUGGAAUUGGGGAGUCUAGUUUCAUUUCCAAAGUGGGUGGUUUGGAAUUCGUGGGUUCCUUCUAAGGUUGACUUUUUUUGCGUGGGGCCUUCUUGGAGCAAAGUUUUUUCUUUAGAUCAAAUUCAAAAAAGAGGUUGGUUUUUGGUGAGGUGUUUUCUUUGCAAAGAAGAGGAGGAAUCCAUAGAUCAUAUCCUCCUCCAUUAUUCACUGGUUAGGAUCUUUUGGUAGUUGCUGUUUGAUCUUUUUGGUGUCCAUUGGGUGCAAGCUGCUACUGUUAAGGAGGCUUUUUUAGGUUGGCAUGGUUGUUUGUGGGCAAAAAACGUAAAAAGGUUUGGAGAGUAGCUCCAUUAUGUAUCUUUUGGACGGUUUAGAAGGAAAGGAUUCUCCGGUCGAUAACGAGAAGCAUUCAACUAUUUUUUUGAAGAUGUUCUUCCUUAGAAAUUUGUUUACUUGGGUAACGCAAAACAUAGAAAUAAAUUCUACGUCUUUACUUGAUUUUGUUGAGUGGUUGGGUUCUUGUAAAGUGAGGGUGUUAUUUCUUUCUCGGUUUUUGUGCUAUUAGGCACUAUUCAUAUACAUCUUGUGUACUUUGGUACGUCAUAUUGGCGCUUUUUAUUUUUUAAUGAAAUUGGUUUUAUCUAUAGAAAAUAUAUAUAUAGAGUUUAUUUGGUUAUCAAAACUAUUGUUUAAUUACUCAAUGGCAGCCUUUUCUAAGGUUGAGUCCACGAGCCACACUCUCCAACCUCAUCAUCUGCCACAACUUUUGUUUGACCAUCUCCCAUGGUCGAUGGCAAUCGUUCUGGUAUUUCAUAUUUUAUUACCAAAUUGUUGAAGAACUCAAGCCAUACUCUUCAAAACAUGAACUUUGAUUUUAUCAUUAUCAAAGGCGACAUUUGCCAUACAAUAUUAAUGAAAGGGGAAUCCUUUAGGCACACUGUACUUCUUCUGUGGUCCUUUAAUGUUAGGUUUGAAAUUGGGUCUAGAAUUUUACAACAAUAUUGGAGAAGCAUGCGAUGAUAGGUGAAAGGUGAUGCGAUCUACCAUUUUCAUAGGCAUUUCUUGUUAAAUUUUUCCCAACCACUCCUUAGUUAAUGUUUGAACACUAUGUGCUUUUGGGGGGGUCAAAAAUGAAAAGUGUUAUCUCAGAAUUUGGUUCUUUCCUUAAGGAACAGUGAAAAUUGCCUUUCCACUUGAGUUUAAGAAACCCAAUACACCUCAAAUACUCCAUGGAAGACAUGAGUAGCCAGGGGCUGCAGCUACGUUGUACUACUAUGUGAUUACUUUGGAACAAUGAAGGAGGAUAUAAUCUACAUUUUUUCCUCUCCUUCACACAAAAAGCCCCUUCUCGGCAACCUCCUACCCCUCCUUUCUUGAACAGACCUUAGAGGGUCAUGCUCAUCACAUUGCCUUCAGCUUAAUUAGGUUUGCUCUAGGCACUUCACAUUGCUCAAGAACACUCUUUGAAGUUUACCACUAUACUUUGCCUUCCUUUGUGAUUCCAAGCAGAAUGAGGAAAAGAUUGGAUAAGUAUCAAUGCAACUUUUUGUGCGAGGGCUGGCCUUUUGAGGGGAAAAUUCACUUAGUGAACUGGACUUCCAUAUGCUCCUUAAGAUCUCAUGGUGGGCUAAGUAGUGGAAAUCUUUCUAUACUUAACAAAGCAUUGUUGAAAAAAUGGUGCUGGUUUUUUUUAUAGAGUAAAAUAACAUUUGUAGUAGAGUCAUUAUUAAUGAGUUUAAGGAGGUGAAGAGGGUUGGUGCUCUAGGAUGGGGAGGGAGAUAUAUGGGACAAAUCCUUGGAAAGCCAGUAGCUAAGUAUCAGAUCACUUAUUUGUUAGAAUUUUCCUUGAGAUAGGCAAGGGGACGACCAAGUUUUGACUUGACGUCUGAUGUGGGAAGUUGGCAUUAAAGGAUUGUUAUAGCUUUGCACAAAGAUGCUUAGGUUGUGGAUCGUUAUAGCUUUGCACGAAGAUGCUUAGGUUGUGGAUCGUUAUAGCUUUGCACAAAGGUGCUUAGGUUGUGGAUCAUUAUAGCUUUGCCUAUAUUCAGAAGGAAGUUUCAAGAUUAUGAAUUGAUAUCAAUGGAAUCCCUUUUGCAGCAUAUCUAUCCAUCUACUAUUAAGCAAAAUUGUUAGGAUAUGAUGGUGUAGUGGGCAAUUGUCACACCCUUGGGAAUCACCCAAAAUUUUUCACUGAGUGUACGGUGCUAAGACACCUUUCUUAGCCAACCUUACCCCUAAGCUUUUAUAAAAGCAGUGUAACCAGGCCAAAGCAAUUAUGAGAAUGCUUCCCAACUUGUGUUAUUCCAAUCAUCUACUAGAUACAAAAUCGUUCCAAAGUGUCUCAACACUUUGCAAGAGUCAGAGGCUACAAUGCUUACACCCUAAGCAUUCAAUAGAUACAUACAAUACUUUGUCUCAGGAUGUAGGGGGUUUUUUAUAAGAGACACCCAACCUAUAGUUACCUUUCAAAGUUUAAACCAGGCAAGCCUAUUGGUGGUUACAUAACCACCCAUAACCACCCAGUUGGAGACACCCCUCCGAACUGAGGUGUCCUUUCGCACCAGCCAACAGCUUCGUAGCUAUCUGCCAGUUCCCUGUUGCUAAGUUUAGCUACUGCCAUCUCAUGUGCUGCAUUGAUCAAUCCUGCUGCCAUUAGCAACUGCUGUUCCUUCAAACCCUUUCUCAUUGAGCCAUUGGUGAGUCUACUUAACAAGAUGCCUCCUCCGCGUAAGGUGCUUCCUUUGAAUAGGUGCUCAUCAAGGUGUCUUUGACCAAGCUCUCCAAAUCAGCAAUGUGCUCUCAUCAGCUGAUCAAGUGUGUUUGGUGCAUCAAUGUGCAUUCCCCACAUUGAUGCUCGGGCUCAUGUCAUGUCAAGGUGCCAAUGGCCUAGGGCAUGUGAUAGUUUCCUCUGUUAGUCAAGGCUCACUGUUGCCUUGUCCAUGCCAUGCACUAUCAAUCUUGCCCGUUGCCUCAGUUUCCCACCAAGCCACUGAUUCACAGCAUUGUGCCAUGGCAUUGCGCCCAUGGCUAUUGUAUCCCCUUGCACGGGGUAUUGUGCCCCUGUGCCAUGCAUAGGCGUCAUGAGUUUGAGUUGGCCGCAUGUUUAGUGCCCUACUGAGCCAUGGCAUUGCGCCCAUGGCUUCUCGAAUCGGCUCAAUGCAUGAGUCUUUUAGGUGCUCUCAUGUUAGUGCAGGGAGGAGGUAGUUCGCACCAGGUCCUGUGUCGUUGUGGCCUUGAGGUGCACGCCGCAUAUGUCGAGGAGCCCAUGUGUGCGUGCUAGUGUGCCUUCCAAGUGUCUUAGGCACGCCCAAAGCCGUGCCAUGGCGCCCUUUUGGUGCGGCCAAGGCUUGGCCUUGGUGCCCCCUUGAGUCACCCACCUCCUCCUUAAAGAGCAAUACAAACCAUUCUCAAGAUGUCCGGAGGAGACAUUAGACCCCCUUGAGGGUCUUAAUAGAAUAUUAAAAUAAAUAAUAUUUAUAUUCCAUAAAAACCUCACCCUUCAUCUGCAUUGUCACUAACGUGCCUUGUGUGCAGAAUGUGCGCCAAAUGUGCGUGCGGGUGUGGCCUGGUGUGUGUAUGGGUGCGACUUUGUGCGCGUGUGGGUACGAGACAGCUGUGCGUGGGGCGCAGGACUAGUGCGGGCCUGCCCUGUGCCUGGUGCUCGUCUGGUGCACACCAAAACCUUCAGGCUUUCCUUGCUUCUCCACUUGGGAUCCUCACGGGUGCAAGGCCUAACCAUGAGGCCUUUUUCUUCGUCAUUGGGUCAAGAGGCUAAAGGGCUAACAAACCCACCCCCGCUUACUGAAGUUGACGCCCUCGUCGACUGCAAGUAUGCCUGAAUCGCCUUCUCAAACUGCCACAAGGUAACAUAUCUCUUCCAAGUAGUUUAUGAUUUUGAAGUCCUCUUCCACUGAACAAGAAAAUCAGUUCGUCGAUUCUUUCUGCUACAUCCCAUGGUCCUAUGAUCCAAGAUCUUCUCCACCUCUUGAUCAAAUUGUUUCAUGACCAAGGGAGGGGCUCGCUUUGUCUGUACCCUCUUUGUGUCUGGGUCUUCAUAGUAUGGUUUCAGGAAACUAACAUGGGAGGUCGGGUAAAACUUGAUCAUUUCUGGUAGUUUCAACAUAUAAGCCACCCGCUCCACCCUUUUUAUCACCUCGAACAGUCUGUCAUAUUUAGGAAUCAGACCCCUAUGCGUUGUUUUGUUGCUAAUCUUCUUCCAUAUCUAAGGAGUCAAUUUCAGGAGGACUUUGUCUCCAACCUGAAAUUCCAAGGGCCACCUAUCAUGGUUUGCAUACUUCUUCAUCCGUUUGACUACUUUUUCCAAACUGUCUUGGGCCUCAUCGAACAUCUCCUUUCGAGACCGAGCCAACUUGUAUGCUGUAGGGUUAUUUCCUCCAGUCUUUUGCUUAGCUACCUCCAAAAGCAUCCUUGGCUGUACCCCAAUAGCCAAUUCAAAGGGACUCAUCCCUGUUGCUGAACUUCUCUAUAAAUUGUAACAUAAUUGGGCAAUGUCAAGUAAAUCCACCCAGUUCUUUUGUGUUGCUGUCACAUAGUGCUGGAGAUACUCCUUCAAUAAGACAUUAAUCCUCUUUGUCUACCCAUUAGUCUGAGGAUGAUUGGCUGUAGAAAACUUCAACUUUGAACCCAAGAGUUUGAACAACUCAAUCCAGAACAGGCCUGUGAACUGUGUAUCCCGAUCACUCACUAUGCCUCGAGGCAACCCAAAGUGCUUCACAACAUGGCUGAAGAACAACCUAGCCUCUUCUUUUGUGGGACAUGCAUCAAGAGCAAGUAUAAACAUAGAGUAUUUAGAAAAUCUAUCCACAACAACAAAGAUAGAUUUGAAGUCACAAACCUUUGAGAAUCCGAUGAUGAAGUCCAUGGAGAUGCUUUCCCAAGGCUUCUCUGGAAUGAUGGUGGGGGGUGCUGCAGCAACCUUACAACCUUUUUCCUCUCGGUCUUGUCCAUUUGACAGACUAGGCAGGAUCUCACAUAAGCCCGUACAUCCUCACUCGUCUUUGGCCAGUAGUAGGAUUUGGCAAGCAAUGGCAAAGUCCUUUCUUCACUGGGAUGGCCUGCCCAUCUAGCAUCAUGAGUUUCCCGCAACAGUUCCUUCCUCAAGCCACCUGCAGGGACUUACCACCUUCCUCCUUUAGCCAUAAGGAGGUCUCCUUCAAGCCAAUACCUCCUAAUUGCUCCCUCUUUGACUUGUUGUCUUAGCUUGCUAUAGGCAGCAUCAAGCUCUGCAGCCUGCUUGAUCCUUUCAUUGAAGUCAAAGAUGACUUUUUAGAGGGCAAUGAUAUAAUCAAUCACUUCCUUUCUGCACAAGGCAUCAACCACUGUGUAGUGUCUUCUUGGUUGAUGCAACCAUUCAAACAUGAAGUCAGCCAGGAACUCCUGCCAUUGAGCCUAUUUGAGACUUAGCUUCUUCUGUGUUUUGAAGAAGGUGUUGGUCACAUUGUCAAUGACUACUGUGAAGAUGCUCCCAAGCAGGUAAUACCUCCACUGCUGCAGACAAUGAACCACUACAGUCAUCUCCUUCUCGUGAGUGGAGUAUUUUUGUUCAACACUAUUCAAUUUCAUGCUUUCGAACGCCACAAGGUGUGCUUCCUGCACCAAGACCCCACCCAAGGCCCUAUUUGAGGCAUUUGUUUGGACUUCAAAUGACAAGUCAAGAUCUGGCAACCGUAACACAGGCUUAGUGGAGAUGGCUUUCUUCAGGCCUUUAAAGGCCAUCUGACACCGCAUGCUCUAGUCUCACUUCUUGUUAUUUUUUAGUAGGUCAAUGAGGGGAGACACCAUUUUUGAGUAUCCUUUGAUGAACCUUCUGUAAUAGUUGGUUGGAUUGAGGAAGGAUUGUAACUCUGUCAACUUGCUAGGGACUGGCCACUCCUUAAUAGCUUGCACCUUGCCUUCAUCCAUUUUGAUCAGACCUGCACUGAUCUUGUGUCCUAGAAAUGAGAUUUGCUCCUGAGCAAAUUCUCAUUUAUCUAGCUUUACAUAAAGCCUAUGCUCCCUCAGUCGUUGGAACUCCAUCCCCAUAUGCUUUUCAUUUUCUGUUAUAGUCUGACUGUACACUACAAUAUCGUUUAGAUAGACUACCACAAAUGCAUCCAAGUAAUCAAACAAGACAUCAUUCAUCAAAUUAUAAAAAGUAGCAAAAGCAUUUGUUAGCCUAAAGGGCAUUACCAGAAACUUGAAUGAGCUAUACCGAGUUACGCAAAUGGUUUUCUCCUCAUUUCGUGCUGCAAUCCACACUUGCAAAUAGCUCGAUCUCAGAUCCAACUUAGUGCAGUAUGAAGUUUUUGACAAUUUGCCAAACAACUCGGGUACCAACAGGAUCGAGUAUUUGUUCUUUAUGGUGACUUUGUUGAGGGCCUUGUAGUCCAAACACAUGUGCAAAGAGCCAUCAUGCUUUUUCUGGAACAACACUGGUGCACCAUAUGGAGCCCUCGAGGGUUGAAUCAGGCCUACAUUCAACAACUCUUUCAACUAUUUCCAUAGUUCCAGUAACUCUAUAGGGGACAUCCUGUAAGGGGCUUGAGCUGGGGGUUUUGUUCCAGGCAACAGUUCUAUCUUGUGGUCAAUGGGUCGCCGGGGUGGCAACCCCUUGGAAAGUUCUGUAGGCAUCACAUCUUUGAACUCCUUAAGAAUCUUGACCAUUGAAUCAAGGAAUUCCAUAGACUGCCCCUCCUUGAUCUUGAUCAAAGCUGCAACAUAGGUCUCUUGACCUCUCUUCAAACCCUUCUUUAAUUGGAUAGCAGAUAACAUCUCAAGCUGACCUUUAUCGCCAUUGUUUGCCCUUAAGGCCUGCACAAAGCAGGGCUGACUUCAUUUAAUACCAUCAAGCCACUAAGAUGCGGGAUCAAGGCCACCUUAGCCUUCAAGAAGAAGUCUAUGCCCAAGAUUAGAUUGAAAUUGUCCAAGGGCACACAGAGUAAGCUGCAAGUGCCCUUCUAGUCAACAACUUGCACAGUUCUUGGCUACACCAUGGAUCUUUUAGGCUUUGCUAUUGACUAUUUUGAUUUGACUGGUGUCAUCUUCCAGUUUCAAUCCCUAUUUGGUUGCCUUUUUGGUGGCCACAAAAUUGUGAGUGACCACUAUUUACUAUAGCCUUGACUUGCACACCAUUCACAACUGCAUGCACAUGCAUUUGUGACUUUUGGACAGGAGUCUCACCAUGAAUAACAUUUAAGAGUUGCAGUAGGUUGACUCUAGGAGGGGUCUCUGAGUCAGAAUCUCCCUUGUCGUCUGUAAUCACAAGGGUUGAGAGUUUCUCUCUUUUUGGGGCAGUCCCUGGCUUUGUGUGGGUCAUUGCAAAUGAAGCAUCCUGCCAUCCGGGUGGUUUGCUGCACAAAUUUGGUGGUCUUCUCCGCUGGUUUGGCCACUGCAUCACCCUUCCUAUUUUGUUUCUUCCACCUUGACUUCCUAGAAGUCUUGCCCUCAAUCUUAGCCUUUUUGCCUCCUUAUGACUUAGAUUUUUGCAUAGUGGAGAUGGUGCCACCCAUCUUAUAAUCCACUAAGCAAUCUAUUGCAGCCAUGGUAGCAGGGAGAUCAUGAACCCCUCCGAAGUUCAGUCUGAGCCCAUUCGUGCGGUCCGGACAUGAAAUUGAAGAGCUUGUCUUCUUCUGUCAUGGUUUUAAUGUCCAACAUCAAGGAACUGAAUUCCUUGACAUAUUUCAUCACGGAUCCGGUGUGUCUUAGUCUCUUCAAUGACUUUCUGGCCACCCAAGCAAUGUUGGUAGGGAGGAAUUGGUCCUUCAACUCCUUCUUCAGAGUUUCCUAAGUGGUGAUUUGGGGCCUUCCAGACUUUGCAUCAUCCUUCAUCCUCGUUCGCCACCAGAGUUUUGCAUCACCAGUCAGAUACAUACUAGUAAUGAAAAUUUUCUCACCAUCAGAGACGUGAGCAACCUUAAAGAAUUGCUCCAUGUCUUAUAAGAAAUUCUUCAACUCCUUUACAUUCAUGUUACCAUUGAAACCCUUAAGCUCUAGGACCCAGAUUUUGGGAGGGGCUUCAGAGCUUGAGGAGGAUCCCUGCAACACUGCCUUCUUGAGGACUGUAAUGUCUUCUCCAUAAGACCGUGGGGUGCCUUUGAAGUCAUCCAUCAGGGACUGGAUAUCUGUCUUCAAACCAACAACCUUCUCCUCAAAGAAUUGAUCAUGUGUCUCCAACAAACUUCUCCGCACUUGGAUUUCCCCCACAGUGUGCUCUACCCACGAGGCCACAAUGCCAUUCUCACUUGGCCAUUCUCCUAGCACUUCUUCCAUCCGAGCAAUCCUUUUCCGCAAGACUUCCGUUGCACUACCAUUAGCCAUCUUUGGUACUUGCUUUGAUACCAUUUGUCGCACCCCUUGGAAUCACCCAAAAAUUUUCACUGAGUGUGUGGUGUUAAGACACCUUUCUUAGCCAAUCUUUCCCUUAAGCCUUUAUAAAAGUAGCGUAACUAGGCCAAAGCAAUUAUGAGAAUGCUUUCCAACUUGUGUUAUUCUAAAGAUACAAAAUCGUUCCAAAGUUUCUCAACACAUUGCAAGAGUCGGAGACUACAAUGCCUACACCCUAAGCAUUCAAUAGAUGCAUACAACACUUUGUCUCAAGUAUGCAGGGAGGUUUUUAUAAGAGACACCCAGCCUACCUGCUGGAGGUUAUCUGGAGACAUGCUUCCCUCCGAACUAAGGUGUCCUUUCGCACCAGCCAUUAGUUUCUCAGCUAUCUACCAGUUCCUUGUUGCUGAGUUUAGCUACUGCCAUCUCAUGUGCUGCACUGAUCAAUCCUGCUGCCACUAGCCAACUGCUAUUCCUUCAAGCCCUUUCUCAUUGAGCCGUUGGUGAGUCCUCCUAACAAGAUGCCUCCCUCCAUCGUAAGGUGCCUCCUAUGAACGGGUGCUCAUCAAGGUGUCUCUGACUAGGCUCUCUGAAUCAGCAACGUGCUCUCAUAAGCUGAUCAAGUGUGUUUGGUGCAUCAACGUGCCUUCCCCACACUGAUGCUCAAGCCCAUGCCAUGUCAAGGUGCCCAUGGCUUAAGGCAUGUGAUAGCUCCCUUUGUCAGUCAAGGCUCACUGUUGCCUUGUCCAUGCCAUGCACUAACAAUCUUACUUGUUGCCUCAGUUUCCCACCAAGUCACUGAUCCACGUCAUUGGGCCAUGGCAUUGCGCCCAUGACUAUUCUAUCCCCUUGCAUAGGGCAGUGUGCCCUUGUGCCAUGCAUAGGCAUCAUGAGUCUGAGUUGGCUGCAUGUCUAGUGCCCCACCAAGCUAUGGCAUUGCACCCAUGGCUUCUCGAACCGGCUUAGUGCAGGAGUCUUUUAGGCGUCCUCGUGCCAGCUCGGGGAAGAGGUAGUUCACACCAAGCCCCGUGUUGUUGUGGCCAUGGGGUGCACACCACAUAUGUCGUGGAGCCCAUGUGUGUGUGCUAGUGUGCCUUCCAAGUGUCUUAGGCACGCCUAAUGCCGUGCCAUGGUGCCCCUUGGUGUGGCCAAGUCUUGGCCUUGGUGCUCCCUUGAGUCACCUACACUUCCCACCUUAAAGAGCAAUACGGGCCAUUCUCAAGAUGUCUGGAGGAGACAUCAGACCCCCUUGAGGAGACGUAAUGGAAUAUUAAAAUAAAUAAUAGUUAUAUUCCAUAAAAACCUCACCCUUUGUUUGCACUAUCACCAACGUGCCUCAUGUGCAGGAUGUGCGUCAAGUGUGCGUGUGAGUGCGGACUGGUUCACGCGCGGAUGUGGGACUAGUGUGCGCACGGCUUGCGCCUGGUGCUCGUUUGGUGCACAUGUGGCCUGCGUCUGGUACGCCCGCGACUUGCAUCAGUCUUCUCAUUUGGCUUCUUGGGGCGUGAACCACCAAAGCUUCAGGUUUUCCCUGCUUCUCCACCUGGGAUCCUCAUGGUUGCAAGGCCUACCCAUGAGGCCCUUUUCUCCGUCAUCGGGUCAAGAGGCUAAGGAGCUGACAACAACCAAGAAGGCCAUUCCCUUUGUGAAGUCCUUUUUAUCUUUUGCUAUGAUUUGGGGACUUGAUUUUACUUUCUUCUAAAGAAAUUUGGGCUUAAGCUGCUCAUUCUAAAGUGUGACUUGGGGGUGGUUCUAGUGAAUAGAUAUAGUAUGUGCAAACAAAUAAUAACAUCCUCAUUUAUGUAAGAAGUUUAUGAUUUUUAUUGUCCUCCCUUUUUGGGUAUGAUGGUGGACUCUCUUUAAAUGGUUUAAGGAACAAUUGCUUGGAUGGCAUGGUAGUUUUGUGGGAAAGAAUGAAGGAGUUUUGGAGGAUGACUCUUCUAUGCUUAUUUUGGUGUGUAUGGAAAGAGAAGAGUAGGACCUUUAAAGGUGUUGAGCUAUUGGAAGGAGCAUUGACAUAUCAAUUCCUUUCUUUGAGGUGAGUGGAGAUGGUAACGGUGGUCUAUGAUGCUUAGAUCCUUGAAUUUCACCUAACGUACAUGUGUCGACAUGACAUGACCUGGUUGUGGGUAUUCAAAUACUCCUAUUUUGCUUUGGGUGUGGCUGUUUGAUUUUUUCAUUGAUAUUCUCUUAUUCUUUGAAUUUUCUUAGUAAUAAUUACAUUUGAUAAAAAGAAGAGUUAAUUGAAAAGUGAAUUUUUGUAAGAAUAUUUAGGAAUGUGAGGAAAAAAGGGGAUUAGAGGAUAAAGAUGAGAGCUUUUAAAAAGGAUAUCUUCCCUUCCGAUUUUUCUUCUUUAUCUAUCAAAAAAAUCUUCACUUCCAAUUUAUUUUUAAUUAACUUUUCUUUUAUUAUGCUGUAUCCCAAUACUUGUGUCCUUUUUUUGGAUCCCUUUUAGCUAAGUCCCUGUAUCCUAAAAUUUGAGUUGUGAAGGAUCAAACACCUAGACACAUACGCAUAUCCAAUGGGUCUCAUUCUUCUUUUCUGGAUUUGAUUGUUUGGGUAAUGGGGUAGGUGGCAUUUUGGCCUAUUGUACCUUUUCUCUCUCUAAAGUUGUCGGGUGAUGUGCUUUGUAGAGUCCCCAUGUACAAGGGUGCAGCCCCUUUUCUGUUAGGUGCUUUUCAUUAGUAUUCUAUUUGCUUAUAAAAAAAAAGGAACGAAAAAAGAAAAAAGAAAAAAGGAUAGAAGGCGAAAGCACCUUGUAGGAAGAGAAUCAAAGCACAGAAGGUACAAGAAAAGGAAAAGCACAAGGUUGAUCAUUAACUUGGAUGAACUCCUUUCAUCUUGCUAAAUUAUUCUGUUUCUUGUGUGGCUGUGCCUAUCAUAAAAGAAGGGGGAAAAUCCAGUUUCUGGAGUUUUGCUGUAACAGUACUUGCUGUCAUCAUUGAUUCUAUAGCGUGAGGAUUAAUUUAGAGAACUCAUAUGUUUAAGAUUUAUUUGCAAGUUAUAAUAUAGAGGUGGACUAUAUUUAUUAUUUCUUACCUAUCAUUUACUAUUUUUGGAGCUGUCCAGAAAAUUAUGUGGAAGCUGAAUAAGUCAAUCGCUAAAGAACUAUUACCCACACAGCCUGUGGACUUUGCAAUUGAACCAUGGUGGGGAGUAUGUCUUGUCAACUUUACCUUGGAAGAAUUUAAGGUGAGGUGAUUCAUGAAGUAUUGAGUAAAGGAUUUGCUUAUCCAAAUGAACUGCUUAAGAUUGUAUUCAAAUGCUUACAGAGAGAGUUUGUGAUUUGUUCUAACUAUAUUUUUCCCUGUUACUGUAGAAACUCUCAGAAGAAGAAAUGGCGACAAUAGAUAAAGUAUGUAAGGAAGAAGCAAACUCAUUUGUCCUUUUUGAUCCUGAUGUUGUAAAGGGUCUUUUCCGACGGGGAUUGAUCUACUUUGAUGUCCCUGUUUAUCCUGAUGACCGCUUUAAAGGUAAUUCACAAACAUGCUGAAUUUUCAUGCCAAAGUCUAUCUUUGGUUGCUUCUUCAUCUGAACCAUCUAUAUAAUGAGUUCUUACAUUAGAAUUUAAAAUGUAUAUUUUAUUUUUUGAAACAUACUAUUAUUCCAUAGUUUUGAUUGUUUUUGUUGAAUAUAAUGUAUGUAUAGUAUACUAUCUUUCCUUGUUAAUAUAGGUCACAUGUAUGGUAGUUAGGACUCCUAGCCUUGUAUAUAUAUAUCUCUCAAUUGUAAGUAGAGAUUACAAUGAAUGUGAAUAAGGUUUUUCUCCUUUCUCUCUCUCUCUCUCAACAUGGUAUCAGAGCCAAGGAAGAAAACCUAAUUCUUUCCUGUUUUCCGUGUCAUCAACUCCGGGAAACCUUCCGGUGACCGUGUUUCUUUCCGGUCACCUUCCCCAUCUCCCAAUACUUUCCGGUCAGUCGGAUCGUCGUUAGAAACCACUCACCGCUGGAAAAUUUUCCGGCGAAAUUUUCCGGCAACUUUCCGGCGAAAUUUCCGGCGAAAUUCCGGCGACCUAUUUUUCCGACACCGACCAUACCAGAAGGAGCGCCUGGAGGAGAUCUCCAACUUUUGUGAAGGCACCAGCACCAAAAGAGCAGCCACGCGCCGGCCACGCGCAAUUUUCCGGUCGGCGGUUGAAUCUCACGCGCCGGCGCGUGGGGGCGCGUGAGAGCUUUUCCGGCGACGUGCCUCCUCCUCCAGCUUCGCCUGACGCCGAUCAGCCUUCCCACCUCCCUGGUUCUCCCAUCCGAGCCCUGCACGUACCUCUUUUGGGGAUUUUUGUCUCCGUCGGCCCUCCAAACAGUCUUUCCGGCGAAGCUCCGACCACUUUUUCUCCACUCCAAUCCCUGCACGUGCCUUGGGAAGUGUUCUUCUCCCUUUCUGGUGGUAUCACACCGCGAUCUGAGGCCGUCUCCCUUUUUCGGUGGUGCCACGCUGCAAUCUGAAGCCGUAUUAGGGCUCUCUUUGAUCCAAACAUACUUCAUUCUCCAGAUAAGUGGAUAUGGCUACUAAAGCUUCCAUUUUUUCCUCUGUCAUAUCUGGAUCUCCUAUGAUUACUUCGGAGAAACUAGUUGGGAGUGAAAAUUAUCUUUCCUGGUCUGCCUCUGUUGAACUUUGGUUUAUGGGUCAAGGAUAUGAGGAUCACUUGAUUACACAGGAGGCAGAUAUCCCUGAGGUCGACCGCGUACAGUGGAGGAAGAUAGAUGCACAGUUGUGUAGUGUAUUAUGGCAAUCGGUUGAUCCCCGAAUUCUUCUUCAUCUUCAGGCCUAUAAAACUUGUUUUAAAUUUUGGACUCAGGCCAAAGGAUUAUACACGAAUGAUAUCCAGCGUCUUUAUAAGGUGGCUUCUGCUAUUGUCCAUCUCAGCCAACAGGACUUGGAUCUAUCUACUUAUAUUGGCCAGAUUGCCUCUCUUAAGGAGCAGUUCUUGACUGUGAUGCCUCUUACUCCUGAUGUUGGGGCUCAACAAACACAGCUUGACAAGUUCUUCAUGGUCCUUACUCUAAUCGGUCUCCGUCCGGAUCUUGAGCCUAUUCGUGAUCAGAUUCUUGGUAGUUCAUCAGUUCCGUCCUUGGAUGAUGUGUUUGCUCGCCUCCUCCGUAUCUCGUCCACUCAGACUUUGCCAUCUGAUAGCACUUCAGAUUCUUCUGUGUUAGUUUCUCAAACUACCUCUCGAGGAGGACGCAGUGGUACCCGAGGUAGAGGCCAACGUCCUCAUUGCACCUAUUGCAAUAAACUUGGCCACACUCGCGAUCGUUGCUAUCAGUUACAUGGAAGACCUCCUCGCACUGCCCAUAUGGCCCAGUCCUCUGAUUCUCCGCUGCCUCAGCCUCCGAGCUCCUCCGCAUCUCAGACAUCUCAGGCUUCUAUUGCCUCUGUUGCCCAGCCUGGUAAUGCCUCUGCCUGCCUUACCCACACAUCUUCUCUUGGACCCUGGAUUCUAGAUUCUGGAGCAUCUGAUCACCUAUCUGGUAAUAAGGAUCUUUUCUCCUCUAUUACUACUACCUCUGAUUUACCUACUGUUACCUUAGCUAAUGGUUCUCAAACUGUGGCUAAAGGUAUUGGUUUGGCCCUUCCUUUGCCUUCUCUACCUCUCACUUCUGUCCUUUAUACUCCUGAAUGUCCUUUUAAUCUUAUUUCCAUCAGCAAAAUCACUCGUACUCUUAAUUGCUCUAUCACCUUUUCUGAUAAAUUUGUGACCUUGCAGGACCGGAGUACGGGGAAGACGAUUGACAUAGGACGUGAGUCUCAAGGCCUCUAUCACCUCACCUCAGAUUCAUCUCCUGCAGUUUGCAUUUCCACUGAUGCUCCUUUCCUCAUUCACAAUCGUCUGGGCCACCCUAGUCUCUCCAAGUUCCAGAAGAUGGUUCCUCGUUUUUCCACUUUGUCGUCGCUUCUGUGUGAGUCAUGUCAGCUUGGGAAACAUACUCGUGUCUCGUUCCCAAAGCGUUUGAAUAAUCGGGCAAAGUCUCCUUUUGAGCUUGUCCACACUGAUGUUUGGGGUCCUUGUCGGACUGCGUCUACUUUAGGAUUUCAGUAUUUUGUCACUUUCAUUGAUGACUAUUCUCGAUGUACUUGGUUAUUCUUAAUGAAAAAUCGAGCUGAGUUAUUCUCUAUUUUCCAGAAAUUUUAUACUGAAAUCCAAACCCAGUUCAAUAUUUUUAUUCGUGUGUUACGCAGUGACAAUGCCAGGGAAUAUUUUUCAGCCCAAUUUACUUCGUUUAUGUCUCAUCAUGGGAUUCUUCAUCAGUCUUCUUGUGCUCAUACUCCUCAACAAAAUGGGGUAGCUGAACGCAAGAAUCGACAUCUUGUUGAGACAGCUCGUACUCUCCUCCUCCAUAAUCAUGUUCCUUUUCGUUUUUGGGGGGACGCUGUUCUUACCGCUUGUUAUUUGAUUAAUCGUAUGCCCUCCUCUGUUUUACACGAUCAGAUUCCUCACUCCCUUCUUUUCCCUAACCAACCACUUUAUUUCCUUCCUCCUCGUGUCUUUGGUUGUACUUGCUUUGUUCAUAUUCUCACUCCUGGACAGGACAAGCUUUCCGCCAAAGCCAUGAAGUGCCUCUUCUUGGGAUAUUCCAGACUUCAGAAGGGUUAUCGUUGUUAUUCCCUUGAGACUCAUCGGUACUUUAUCUCUGCUGAUAUCACCUUCUUUGAGGACUCACCAUUCUUUUCCACCACUUCUGAGUCUCUUCCUGUUUCUGAAGUCUUGCCCAUUCCCAUUGUCUCCCCACCUGAUGCUAUGCCCCCUCGACCACUUCAGGUUUAUCAUCGUCGCCCUCGUGUCGUUGCUCCUCUCCCUUUUCCUGAGGCACCUGCUGACUCACUUCCUAUCCCUUCGGCUUCACCUGCCCCGGCUCUGCCUUCUCCUAAUGACUU